UACGUAGGGGGCAAGCGUUGUCCGGAAUCAUUGGGCGUAAAGAGCGUGUAGGCGGCCCGGUAAGUCCGUUGUGAAAGUCGAGGGCUCAACCCUCGAAUGCCGGCGGAUACUGUCGGGCUAGAAUCCGGAAGAGGCGAGUGGAAUUCCUGGUGUAGCGGUGAAAUGCGCAGAUAUCAGGAGGAACACCAAUGGCGAAGGCAGCUCGCUGGGACGGUAUUGACGCUGAGACGCGAAAGCGUGGGGAGCAAACAGG
RNAcentral lists this ribosomal RNA (253 nucleotides) under Candidatus Parcubacteria bacterium. Its description in RNAcentral is "partial 16S ribosomal RNA". It matches the Rfam family "Bacterial small subunit ribosomal RNA", at positions 524 to 776 of the family's 1533-position model. The record is from RNAcentral. RNAcentral also lists the same sequence under 1 other name. Lineage: Bacteria; Candidatus Parcubacteria.